CCGGGAAGACGACGACGUGCCAACGCCUAAAAGCGUAUACGUUUGUGUGUGUGUGUGUGUUGAUCUUUGCAGUGCAUCCCUAACCGUUGCCCCAACACACCUCGCUACCUUCUCACUAAGCGCCCUCGCUCGAAAGCACCGGCGCGAAGUCUUCACACUUGAACCGAAUUGAGAGAGUGAACACCAAUAAGCUGGCUAGUCGGGUCGUCUUCUCCCUCGCCAGCAUACGCCGCCCCACACCCCCUCUGCGUGUUUUGCUGCCACCUUUCUUUUCGCGUGCUGUAGCUAGACCGUCUACAAGUCACGUCUCCCUACUCUUCUUUGGUUCAUCGAGGCCUUUUGCUAUUCACUGCACGCGGCACCGCGGCAGCGCGGACGACUGUAUUCCCUCCCAUAUACGGGCACCGACAGAGGCCUCGGGGCAGAAGGUCUGCCUCCCCCUGCUUAGACGACGCUUUCUUUUUUCACCUGCUUUUGUUUUUAUCUCUCCACUUGUGCCCUCUUCUACCGAUGCUCACGGCAGUCAGACCUAGCGCACCAGGCAUUAUCCGGCACGCGCCCCAGCGCGCCGGCGAUGCCGCUCGUCGCCGCCAGAGCGUGUGGCACACGAUCCACCGCCGCUCCAGCGCAUUCGGUGGCGGAAACGCGCAUUCCAGCAGCCGCGACAACGCCAUCGAGGUCAAUGGGAUUUCUAUUGACCGCCUUACGUACAUUAGCACGGCCCUUGAUGCCCUGCCAGGAGUGGCGCUGCGGGAGUACUUCGUCCCUAUUGUGCGACUCAAGAAGCAGCUCCUUUUGCGCCAGCGUAACGUCCUUCAACGGUUCCCGUCGCGGGACACCGUCGAAGGUGCGGCAGCGUAUGCGAAGAUGGUGACGAACGCACUGACGUCGCUGACCCGGGCACUCAACACGGCUGGGGGAGAUCUGAUGCUGGACGGAGGCGCGGCUAAUCUGUCCUUAGAGCCGAAGGACGUCAUUGCCUGCUUGAAGGACAAAGUUGCCCCCGUCAGCAUCGAGGCUGGAGGGGUGCUGGUCUACCCCCGUGAGCCGCCCGAGGCGUCAUUUGUGUACAUUAUCGUGGCAGGAACUGUGUCCGCGACCUUUUUCCAGCCACAGACGCAAGCGCAGUGUCCGGCGCCUCAGCAUCAACGCCGUGGUGGCGGCUUUGGAGUGCGCGGGGAGCGACGGAUGUACUUCACCUCGGCCAAGGAUGUGGUACACCUGUGCGGCGGUGGCCUUGCGCCAGAAGUGACGUUGGCCAUAGACGACUACGCAGCCACCGAUUCGAUCGGAUACAACAACUCCGCCGUCGCCGGCGGCGGCGGAACGAAUAUGGAUGGUGCGUCCAUGUCUAACGUGACAACUGCGAUCCAGCGCUCGCUGAGACGAGCCAGCCGCACCGCCGGACAGCCAACGCUGCGGCCCAUCCGCACAGAGCAGGUGUGUGGCCCGGCAGUGCUGGGAGCCGGCGAGGCUCUUGGACUGGCGCCAUUCAAGUACGUGUGCUACACCGUCUCGACCACCUCUGUCGUUGCGCCAGCGUCAGGGAGCGCGUCGGCUACGUCGAAGGGUGCAAAAGGCGACGGGGGAGCAACGUACGUGGAGUUCGUCGACGCCUUCCGAAUCCGCACAAGCGACGUGCAUGCCGCUGUGAUCGAAAUCGCUGCCCAGCAGCGGGCGGAGCGGCUGCAGCGUUCUCCGAACCUGUACGUGCCGUGGUGCGCCGCCGCACCGGGCGAAGUUGUGCCGCGUGGGGCCGCCCGCACCGUCGCCGAUUUCAUCGUGGCCGCUCGGCACCGCGCCCUCUACAGCGACUAUGCCGCCACAGAGCUGCUAGUGAGGCAGAGCUGGCUGCUGCAGGACACUGCGGCGCAUACGAUCCGCGCAUUGAUGUCGCACAUGGUGCCACGCACAUACAUGCCUGGCGAGGUGAUGGCCUGCCCGCACAUGCCUGGGUCCGCUCGGCAGCUGUGCUUCCUGCGGCGCGGCCGUCUGAACGUUUUCGUGCUCCCGAAGAGCGGCAUCACUCCGGCACUGCUGAUGACAGGGGAGUCACCGGAUGGUUUGGUGGCUUCGCGCUUCCCAUGCGACGGGUGCGGCUGCUGGCGCCUAAGAGAGACACCCACAGCCCAGCCAGCGGAGGUGGUGGAAUCGGGCGCCUCCUUUGGGGAGCUGUCGGUGCUUUUCAACGAGCCGCGCCAUUGCAUACUGCGGGCAGACACGGUGUGUGAUGUGUGGUGCCUACCGCGCCAAAGUUUCGUCGCGUUGAUGCAGCGUGAUGCCACCCUGCGUGAUGGACUGCUACGGAAGGCGGCGGUUCUCCGCGUGGAGUGGAUGAGCGAGCAGCGCUUCACGCGCGCGCUGGCACAGCAGCUGCGGGCCGGCUCCGAGCUGCUGAAGCCGCUCCCUGAUAUUGCCAUUCGCCUCAUCCAAGAGCGGCUCGAGCCGGUCAUCUACACACCGGGCUCGCUUGUGGCGAGCACAUCGACGAGGUGCACCGAGAUGACCUUCAUCAGGCGCGGCACCGUGUCGACAAUUUGUGAAGGUGUCGCCACAUACGGCCCAGGGGACGUGCUGGGCGAGGGAUGUCUGAUCCCGCAUCGAUGGCCACUGGGGCUUGCUGCGCGCACGAUGGUGGAGGGUUGGCGAAUCAAGGUGAAUUGUCUCAUCGACGCACUCCGGCGGAUGGACCUACUAUACCGGUACUCGGGUCUGGUCACGAGCCAAACGCCGCAGCUGAUGAAGCAAAUCUUCGGUACCCCACAACCAGAGAUCGAGGUGGACACUGUUGGCCGGCAGCGCAUGCCGACGGUGGGGGCACCUCCCGGAGGCAGUACCAGCUACCUCAUGUACGGCCGUGCGGUGAGCGAGGUGCAGCUGAAGGCGCUGUGCUUCCUCUAUCGCGGCUAUGUACGGUGGGAGGACAUCAGCUACUCAACUACGGAUCGUGGGGCCGACAGGUCAGACGCGACACUUCCGCAGACGGCUCUCGACGCUGUUGCUCGUGACGUGGCCAUCAGCCGCCUUAGCGGGAGAAAGGGUCAGCAGGUGUCUGUUGCGCUGAGCCAGCUCCAACAGCGUCGAGGCGCUGGUGUACCCGGCGGCAAGCAUCAGAAGACCGUAAGCGACAUCUCUGCUGUCGCCUCGGGCUCUGCGACUACCACCGUCCCUCUGCCCACCCUAAAUGACACUCCUGCCGCUGCAGGGUCCGGACGCAACACCGCUCGAGCCAAUAAUGGACGGCGCCAACCCACGCGCCCGCCGCGGGUCGAUAGCUGCGGUGUCCCCAGACAGCGGUUAGCAAAUGCCGGCGCCUUCCUAGUGAAGCAGACUUUCCUCGGUAAGGAAGUGCCAUCGAAGGCCGCGACACUUGCUCACGGCCGCCACAGCCACCUACCGCUGCCGCCUCGCCUGCAUCGCAUGGUGCGCCUGCUUGAGGAGCGCGACCGCACCUGGACGGCUGAGCAGUGCCACGAGGCGGCUCUCGCGCAGGAGAUCAAUCAGCGCGACGCCGCCGUCUGGAAUCGGGCCGCGCUGCGGUCUAAGGCGACGGCGAGCACGUCACCGCCCGAGGGCAAGCCGUCCCGCUUUGAGACAGAAGCAGCAACGGUGACAGCUAUGCCCGUCCCACGCACCGCUGCAAGCGCUCUCUCUGACACCAGUCCCGCCCCUGUGCACAUCUUCCUUCAGGGGGAGAGGCCGAGGUACGAGUUGGCUCUUAGCGAGGCCAUCGCCGUCGGCUACGUCAUGCAGCUGCCUGACAUCGCCCACAUCCAGCACUCAGUCUCGAUGGUGGACCCGGACGUCGCGCUCGGGCCGCCGGCGCAGCGGGGACGCCGGCACCUCAUGUCCGUCACCCCCAACGACCGCUACACGAAGCACAACUUUCUUUUCGCGGCUGCAGAUCUCAAAGACGGCAACUCUGCUGAGACGCAGCAGAAGGCCGCGGAGGUCCAGGCGGAGGCGAAGCUGCGUAGCAAGACACGGAAACUGUUCACCAUGAUGCGAACUGCUGUGGCGUCCCGCAUGGACAGCGAGGCAGCGGCUGCGUCAGCGGAAUUCUUUCACCCAUCAGCAGUUUCGGGCGAUUACAGCCCCACUGCCGGCAGCACUGUGGCUCCACCGCCUGACACACUGGUGCUGUUGAAUGAGUCGCAGAUGCAGUCGCUGGACAGCGACGCUGAAGGGCUGGCGAACUCUCCUGCAGCCGCCUUCACCCCGUCGCCGGAUCGCCCUAGGCAGCAGCAGGCGCUCCGGUCGAGUCCCGGAAUUGCCGUCCGUGCCGACUCGAUGGCGACGCAGUCGUCCUUGUGCGGCUCUCCGAGCAAAAGCAGCGGCCAGAAAAAAGAGGAGGCGUUCCAGCGGUUGGUGCAGCGGGACCCGGCGCAGGCGAUCGAACUGCUAUGCAAACACUACGACAUCCCUUGGAGCUUCGCGUGGGCUAACCCGCAGCUCGACAUGGCGCCACCAGCGCAGCAAGUCAGGGACGGGCGCAGCGUCACCGGCUCCGGCUAUAUGACGUCGCCGGUGGCCACAUCGGUGGAGUCACAGCGGCGCGCGCAGCAGCUGCAGAGACCCAGCCUUCUUGAGAGACUAGAGACGGUGGCCAUGGCUAGCAUGCCGAGUGCUAAUGCCACGGGCGGGCUGUCGUCGUCUCUGCUGGCGCUGUCGCUGAAGUUGAGUGGAAGUGCGACGGACGCUGAGGCGCCGCAAAGAAGCGAGGCUGGCACCGAGGACGGCGGCGUUCUUCUCACGGACAACAGGGUGCCGUCCUACCCGCAGCUGGUGCGGGCCACGGCGCGGGAUCGCUGGCACAGCGCCAAUUGCCUCACUGCCGGGAGUGCGCCACCGCUCACGUCGGAAGCGCCGGCGCCGCUGCUGCUGCAGAAAGUGGCCGAUGCGAAUGUGGCGACCCCGAGUGCCACUGCGAAGGCGGCUGCGCCCGGUGCGGGUCUUGUGGAGCACUUCUACCGAGGCAGCCAGCGAUGCAGAGCUCCUGCCCUCUUCGUGGAGGGCUACGGGCCGCUGCAGCCAGUGCCGGAGUACUUGGUAGAGUACCCGCCCACUAUCCACGCCAGCGCCGUUGGCGGCGGUGAGCCGUACGUGGGCAACGGCAGUAUAGGCCGCGCUGGCGGGAAUGGGGCACGUUUUUCGCGCCCGCCAACAUCGAUGGCAGCCGCUGCGGUUCUGCGCCGCAGCGCCUCACGUCAAGGUGGCGUGAGCGGCUCUUUCUGCGGCGGAGAUGGCAGUCACCAGCGCUACCCCUUCCGCUGCGGCAGCUCCUCGCCGUUCGGCAAUGCAGGGAAGAUGGGCCCACGGAAGGAGGAGUUCAUCAUGCCGGACGCCGAGGCCACCGAGAUGCUCAUCCGCCGCAUCCAACGCGACGUGGACGGGCUGAACGAGGUGGCGAAGGAGCAGCGGCGUGAGCGCGAUCGGGCACACACGCGCGACGGCCGCGCAGGCAGGUAUCUGACGGCGCUGGAGGCGACCCUUGGCAAGCCCAACAAAGAGGAGCUGGAGCUGCUGGAGGCGUGGCGGAUGCAGUAUCGACACAUAGGCAGCGAAUCGCUGCGUCGCGCCUCGCUCCCCGUCGCGCUGCGCGCUGAGGCCGGUCAGGACUACAUGAAGCAAGAGCUGGAGUACCUGGCCGAUGCCCCUGCCCCAAUGGAUGAUCCGGUGUGGCGCUACGCGUCUGGCGUGCAGGAAUGGCAGGACCAGCAAGCCGGCUCCGAAGAGGGAACCUCUCUCUUCUGUGGCGCACUGGCGACAGGGGGGUCUGGGGCCGAUGAGUUGGGUGGCGGCGCCGCCUCUGCACUGGACGGGGCACGGCGCGUGGUGGCCACCAUCGGCUCGAUAAGCGUGGGCUUUACCCCCGCUCCCCUGCAGAGCCCAUCUGCGCACCUGAGUCCCGGCGACUACGAGGCGUGGGUGCGCCAGCGCGAGGACUUCUUCGCCGCGUACAAGCGCCUCCUGGAUGGACACGGUGAGGACGGCAAACGGGGAGGGUGGACUGCCGAGCCAGCAGCACCGCUGGCGGCUCCGAAGCCGCGCUUCACCCCAGCACCGCCGUCGCAGAGGCUGUGGUCGACGCCCGCUACCCCCGCCCCUUCCCGGACACCGCCGUCCGAAGCGCCCGCCGAGCAACCGGCAGAUUUUCGAAUGAUCAUGGACCCCCGCUCAGAGGACAGCGACGCCGACGCGGGGUAGAGCGAUGCCACGACCUGCGCGCCGCUGGCUGAUCGACCAGAGAUGUCGCCGGUGCCGCCAUUUCCAGCCGCUCAGCCUCCGCCCACUCCCUUCACUGCGGCAGGGACGGGUAUUGGAUCGGCGUUUGGGUUAUUGGUGACGUCUCCUGUCGUUGCACUUUCAAGUGGUCUUCAGCAAGGCAGAUGCGGCGCUCACAUGCUUCACGGACGGCAACUGAUACCUGCAAGGUACUAGCGCAAGUAGGGAGGGGAGGGAUGAGGGGGGGGUGGCGCCACAGCACCGUGGCUCGGCAUUUGAGAUCUGCGUCGCCUCUCCCGCCCUUCUGGGAGGGGCAGAGCCCGCGUGCGUUGCCGGUGGUGGGGGAAGGGGACCGGCUCUUGUAUAUCCUCUCGCCCUCUCACACUGCCGCUUUUGUGUCUCCCUCUGUAUCUGUGUGGGUGCAUGCGUGUGCUGCCACAGCGAUGCCGUGCCGACUACAGCUUGCGUUUCACGUUAGGCCUUCACAGACACACGUUGGGGUGGUGGUGGGCAUUCCUACCCCCUCGUUUUGUGUGCGUGAGCCCUCGCUUAGAUAUCUACAGCCUUUAGAAACUGUUCGGCUGUCUUAUUUUUCUACUUGACUCUUCCACUUGUACGACUACCGUUACCAGCCGACGUGUCCAGUACCGCAAUUGCAGGCUCAUUCUAGCACAGCCCCUCCCUCCUUCCUCCCUUCCAUUCGGGCACGGGUUGCUUGCGCAUGUAUAGUUGUUUCCUUUCGGUCCGAUGCUGCGAAGAGACUUAUGUGCUUGUUUCGUGUUCUAUUCUUUGCGGGCUCCGUCAUCUCUCUCGCCAUCUGAUUAGUAUCAUUACUUUCUGUGCGUGUGUUCGUGUGCGCUUCGCCAGAGCGCGGUUAGUGCUCUAACGCCAUUGCGGGAGCCCCACCGCCAUCACCGCCAUCUCCCCCCCGCUCCCCAGGCCAUUGCCGGUGUGUGCGUGCUUCAGUGGAGGUUGGCAGUAGAGGAGGAGGGGGGGCGAGGAGUUCCGACAACGAGGUUAGAGCGCACAAGAUCUUUUUGCUCGAAUGGCGGCGAGCAACUUUUAUGCUGUC
RNAcentral lists this unclassified non-coding RNA (7297 nucleotides) under Leishmania donovani. RNAcentral's name for it is "gene:LdHU3.29.1560(CDS-product:Flagellar_Member_6 )". The record is from RNAcentral. Lineage: Eukaryota; Euglenozoa; Kinetoplastea; Trypanosomatida; Trypanosomatidae.